UACGUAGGGGCCUAGCGUUGUCCGGAAUUAUUGGGCGUAAAGAGCUCGUAGGCGGUUCGGCAAGUCGGAUGUGAAAUCUCCACGCUCAACGUGGAGGGGCCAUUCGAAACUGCCGUGACUCGAGUCCGGUAGGGGAGUGUGGAAUUCCCGGUGUAGCGGUGAAAUGCGCAGAUAUCGGGAGGAACACCAGUAGCGAAGGCGGCACUCUGGGCCGGUACUGACGCUGAGAAGCGAAAGCAUGGGGAGCGAACAGG
This 254-nucleotide ribosomal RNA is filed under the name uncultured bacterium. RNAcentral describes it as "partial 16S ribosomal RNA". It matches the Rfam family "Bacterial small subunit ribosomal RNA", at positions 524 to 776 of the family's 1533-position model. The record is from RNAcentral.